CCCCACCUACAUCUGGUACAGGAACAGUAAGAUUGUACAAGAGUUCUCCUCCCCCUCAUACACAUUCUACUUUAAAACUGAAGACAGCUUCUACUGUGCUGUAAAAGGCAUCAAUUCUCCUGCAGUGUACGGCCCAAAGAACACCUCAGUGUCAGUCAGUCCCUCUGGUGAAAUAGUGGAGGGCAGUUCAGUGACUCUGACCUGCAGCAGUGAUGCCAACCCACCUGUGGACAAAUACACCUGGUACAAGACAAAACACAACAGGUCGAUGAGACAUCUUGGACAGAGAUACACCAUCCAUAACAUCAGCUCUGAAGACAGAGAGGGAUACUACUGUGAGGCUCUGAGCAUUAUAGGGAGAGAGACUAUCCCUGUCCAUAUUAAUGUUAUAUCAGUGUUUCCCUGGGUUCCUGUGUUGGGGGUGGGGGCUGUCCUGACUGCUGGAGCUCUGCUACUCACCAUCUACUGCACUCUGAAGAGGAGAUCCACAGGAGGAAGUGAUACCACUGCAGACACACAGAAUGUGAGAGACUCUCCCAGUGACACAGCCCCUCAGAUAGAUGCUGAGCCCUCCGAUUAUGAGAACUGGAGCAAACCACCACAGGACCUGGACAGUGACACAGACCCUCAGAUAGAUGCUGAGCCCUCCGAUUAUGAGAACCACAAAAGAACCGGGACUGAAGAGAACCACCACAGAACCUGGACCAAAGAGAACCACCAUAGAACAUGGACUGAAGAGAACCAAAACAGUACCUGGACUGAAGAGCAACAGCAUCAAACCAAAGCUAGGCCUCACAAUGCUAUUCUCUUACUAUCAUAAUGCUUUAUAGUCUAGAAGGUUUGAGACACUGAGCUUUAACUUCUGAGUAAGUGCUGGAAUUUAGAUUGUUCUCCUAAUGAUAAAUACAGUAUGUGUCUAGAUGAUCAAUACAGUAUGUGUCUAGAUGAUUAAUACAGUAUGUAUAUAGAUGAUAAAUGAUCAAUACAGUACGUGAAUAGAUUCUCAAUACAGUAUGUAUAUAGAUGAUCAAUACAGUAUGUAUCUAGAUGAUCAAUGGUAUAGAUUGUGCUUCUGCUAUUUUUCUAUAAGAUUUUGCCAUUUCCAGAUUUGAUUACAUUUCACAUAGAAAUAAUUGUAACUCUUUAUUAGCAAAUGAAUAGUGUGAGUCUUGGCGAUAUAGGCUCUGCUCCUUCAGGGUAGCAGUAAACUAUACCAAUCCCCCAGCAGGAACACAGAACCUAACAGGUGGAGGCUGGGGUGGUGGGAGGAGCUACUCUCCUGCUCAUGAUCAGAAAACAUUGCUUCUCACUCACUGUAUAGCAACAUGGUUGAGGCUAAUUCCUCCUUGUAUGGAUGAGGGAGAAUUCUCCAUGAUGUUUCACGGAGCGCACUGACUCAGCUCAAAGCUGUUAUUGGGAAGAAACAAGUAGGCAGUAUGAUAGGUUACUCUCGAUGCUAUUUCUACUUAGCUAGCUUGUAGCCGGCUAUUGACUGACAACAGAGCAGCAACAUGGUUGAUCCUCACAAUCAAUCACAUCCCC
Oncorhynchus tshawytscha (Chinook salmon) is the source of this 1542-nucleotide long non-coding RNA. The record is from Ensembl. NCBI's taxonomy places the organism in Eukaryota, Metazoa, Chordata, Actinopteri, Salmoniformes, Salmonidae.